GUGAUCUUGAUCUAAAACUAAGAAUACUUAGUCCAAUCCAAAAUUUGUCCCAAAGUUUAUCAUUAGUUAGCUUCAAGCUAUGUCGUUCAUCUAAAUGACAUAUACAUACCGAAGAGUAAAAUUUGGAAAAAUGAGCUUAAUGAUCUAAAAAACACUUCUCAACAUGUGCAGUGCAGGAGUUCAACACAUAUUUUCAAGGAAACAAACUGUAGACGUGUAACUAAUAUGAUAUCGCAGAUAUGUGUGCAGAGCUAUCACUCCUGAAACCAUUGCUGGAAUCUUUAAUAUUCCCUCAAUUCCUUUUUGUUCGUUCUAUACACCCCUUAAUAAGUUUCUUACUCCUAUAAAACUAAAAGUAAUUUUACCAAUAGACCCUUAAUAAAUUUUAAACCUCUUUCCAAAUAAAUAAUGAUUACAUUUAUUAAACAAGGGCAUAAUAGGAAGAUUUUGUUCAAACUAUUCUUGAAAGAUUAAAGGAGCAAGUAUUUAGGAACAUAAGCACAACUCAAAUGGAGCAAAUAAAAAGGAAUGGAGGGAGUAUUUUUUUUUCUUCACAUAAUAGCAUUUUCUUCUAAGACCUUCUCUAAUAAGCAUUGUGCUUUAUGCAUAUGAAGUCACUAUAUUCAGAUAAUUGCUUACUUUCUGUAGAUACUAGCAUAUAAUAACCACCUGUUCCUAUACCCGGCAAGUCCCAGUCUGGACCAGGACUGGUCUGGUUCACAGAUUGACCCUUUCUUAAGGGCCUGUCCGAGCCAGUUAAUUUUGAAGAGUGGUGGGCCCCACACCAACUCAUGAUUCCUCACCAGUAACCACUAUGUGAUCUGCUAGCAGGCCAGUUAAGAGGCCAGUCCAAGCUGAUACUUUUUUAGUUCGUUCUAUUUUUCUUCUUUAUAUGAUUUUAACAUAAUAUUUAUGUAAUGUAAGCUAAAAUUUAAAAUUGAAGAACAUUGAAGAAAAAAUCGUAAAAUAAGCAAGUCAUAUUAUUGAGGGAACAAUUCAAAUUUUUACACUCAAACUAAAGUUAAUUACAGCACCUUAAGAAUCUCUUUGGCCUCCUUUUCUGACUUUCCAGAAACACCAGCUUCCACAAACAAGUAUUGUAUUGAUUGCUUAUAUGACCUGUAAGAAGAACCAAUAUCCUUUAGCAUCAGAUUUUAUCAGAACACUCAACUUCGCCAGUAAUCAUUAAUUGGAAAUAUUCAAUACGAGAACUCACAUUCUGUUUGUCUCGAUAGAAGAUAUGCCUGAAGGACCUCCAUUGAUGCACAGUUGAUAACACGUGAAUGGAAUGAUGGAGGCACACUUAACUCCUUUUGAGAAAACUCUUUACAUUUGGUUACAUAUGUAGACGAGAAGAAAGACACAAUAAUGGAUAGUAUUUUGCUGCACGUUGAAAUUUCUGGUCAGCUAAAAAAAUCAUGAGAAGCUUCAUCUUAAAUGAAGAAAAACUAGGAUUAUUUUUACAUCUCUCUCUUUUCUUUGUCUUCUUGACUAAAACAAGAGGGACAUUUUUAUCUUAUAAUCCAUUUCACUAACCUCCACAUAAGUCUCUCAAAAACAAAAACAUAUUUCUGGUGGUCAUCUCAGUGAGAAAACAAAUGUGUGGACAGCCAAGAUGACCACGCCUUAAGAUCGUCCUAGUGAAUUCAUAAGGAAAGUUUGUGACCAAUCCCUAUAUCCCUAAUACAAUUUACUAUGCAUUUCCGCAAGUGCAGACAUGGGAGAUGUUGUCUGUGAUCCAUGAAUCUCUCAUUGGAAACCAGAUCCAAGCUCUGCGGCUAGUCUGUGCUCUUUCGAAAGGACGAACACGACUGAAGUGGCUAUACAUACAAAUCUAUUUACGGGUUAGCGAUUUGGAGCUGACUUUCCUUCCCAUUAACAAAAUCUCAAAAAUGAAAGCAAAAAGAAAAAAGAAAAGAAAUAUCUAGCCUCUGAAGAUGAGAUGCGUACACAUCAAAUAGAGCAGUUAAAACAUGCUAAAGAAGGGGACACAUCAAAAAGAUCUGUUAAAACACGCUAAAGGGGAAUCAAAAGAUAUCACAGACCGGUGUAGAAAUGGCGGUUAGCAAAACAGUUGAUAAAUUAUCCAAGAGGCAUUGACAAACCAGAACGAAGGAAAUCAAUAAAGAUAAGAGAAAUAUCAGUAAUGAAGGGCCAGCAGAUUCUGAAAUUCAUCUUUAAAUGCCUCAUGAUACUUUCAAGUCAAAGCAAGGUUGGAUUAUCCAACAGAAUCCCUAAGCUUAAUUGAAUUACCUUCACUGUUAGAGACUGGUUAUAUAAUAGACAGUUACUCAACGCCAAGCAAUGUUCAGCCAAUUUUAAAAUGGCAGGUUGGUGUAUUUUCAGGGGGAAAAAAAAGAAAAGCAUGCUGAGACGGUGAUCCAAAAUCAAAGGCAAAUUGGACAUGACCAAGAAAAAUAUAUGUAUGUAUAUAUGUACAGAUAUAUACAUAUAUAUGUAUAUAUAGAUAAAUAUGUAUAUAUGUGUGUAUGUGUGAGUGUGUACAUAUACAUGUGUGUGUAUAUAUAGAUAUAGAUAUCAACAAUUAUUUUGCUAGGUCAUGUCCAAUUUGCAAAUAUAUAUCUAUAUACAUAUAGUAGUUAAUAGAAAUGAUGAUUCUAGUUCAAUCACAUACAAAGUUAUCAUGCAAUCAUUCAAAGAAUGUUCAAGAAGCGUAAGACCAGCAAAGUAAACUAGUAUAGUGUUAUUACUACUCAACAAGAGCGAAUGCAAGAGCAAUGAUUUUGUACUAUACCAGCAAAAUAUGAACACAAACAAGACGGUGCAUUAUUCAAAUUACUCAUCCUAAAGAGCCAAAAAUAAUUCUUAAUAAACACUAAUAACAAAUUCUUGAGCUAUGAAAUUGGUUACAAACCUUGCUCGCCUCUGGUAAAAUGUGGUUUCCUUCUUCAAAACGAAACUGCAUAAAUCGUUGUACCACAUUGUCAAACCUUUCAAGGAAGGAAGAAAAUGACCACAUUGUCUAAUAGUAAGAAACGCAUCAUACCUGUACUCAUCACUAAAUCCAUAUGCAAAUAUAAUAUCAGAGAAGCUCUCUAAUACCUUAAUAGCACAAGCAUUCAUCAAGUUCAAGGAUUUUUCAUCAUUCGACUUCUCAAAUCCAUGCUUCUCCGAAAAACUAAACAUAUAGAAUCCAAAUUAGAAAAUCAAAUACCCCAAAAACUCAUAACUCAAUACUUUUUUCUCGAGCAGUAGGGGUUGUUUGGUUCGCAGACUAAGUUAUCCCGGAAAUAUAUUCUGGGAUUAUAACCCUUGGACUAGUUAAUCCGCCUGGGAGGUGGAAUAAAAUAAUACCAAGUUGGAUGGCAAAAAGUGGAUAGCCCAGGAUUAAGUUAGGGAUUAAAUUUAUACUUUAUUUAGUUGAAGAUAUAAAUUUAUCUCGGGAUAAACUUAUAUCUUCAACCAAACAAAAAAUAAUUUUAAUCCCACACUUCAUUAUCCCAUGAACCAAACGACCGAGUAUAUUCACAAUAUCUACCAACACCGAUUGACAAGAAUCAGCACUCUACUUCUGCACCAGCACUUAACCUGAACACAGACAUAUACUUCAGUAGAAUUUUAAUUGGAGAUCUCUUGAGUUCAACGCCUUUAUCUUAAUUACAAAGUUAGGCUUCAAUUGCAGAGAGAUAAAAACACAAGAAAUAAAGGCAAAGGCAAACCACAAACAUCACAUUACCUGCCAAAGUCGCGGCCAUCAAUUUGAACAACAAUGAUAUUUGGGUACAUUACUUCAUCUUCCACCUCAAAACAUUUUACGUAUUCAUACUUGCUGUUCGCCAUCCCCAAAUGCCGCUACAAUCUGAUUGAAACAAAAGAUUGAUGUGGAGUUAGAAAUGUCAUGAAACCUAUUUUUCUCAUUGGAAUUGCAACAAACCUAUGUGGUGAACCUAGUUUGCAAGACCUUAUCGGCCCAUUCAGUGACCUCUCUUUUCAAAAGUUUCAAGUUGUCUAUUUUUUUUGACAUGCUCAAGUCUAAAUUCUAUUUCGAAUUUAAAACUAUAUUAACAAGUCCAUUAAAAUCACACUGGAAAGCAUAAAUAGGCAAAGGAUUGCAUUUGAAGGUCAAUAAACAAAAUGCUCUCCACCAUGGAAAAGACACAAGGAAGACUCAUCAGCCCAACAAAAUGAACUAGGAGGAGAAGAGACAAGACAAGGUUGCAGCUGAUGGCAGCAGCAACAAGAGCUAGAAAAGGUACAGGAGUUGACUAGGUAGGGCUGUAGGGUUGGGUGGAUGUGAGAGAUGACAUGGCUAAGAAGUAAGAAUGAUAAACUUCGGGUAGUAGAUAAAGGUGAGUUCGAUAUUUGAAGAAGUGAGAGCACCCCUCGAUUUAAGGUGGAUUUACCAUACAAUGAAAGAAACAAUGAGAAAUCAAGUUGAAACUGAGCAUCAACUGAGGGACAAAAAACUGAUUUCUAAAGAUAACCACCAUGACUAUGUCGCCAAUGAGAUUAACCGUGUAGACAAAUGGUCUUUACCUUCCCCUAUUGACCAAAGACAUUACGGAGUUGCUCUUGAUGCAACAAUUAAAAACUAUCAACCAAAUGCCAAGGUAAUUAUGAAGGGGAAGGUGACACUGCCUUACUUGGAAGCAGCUCGGGUUCACCAAACACUAAAAUGAUUACCAAUAAUGAUGAGGUUAAGGAGAGGAGGGGCGCAUGAACUUGAGAUGUAGGUUUCUACCACGGCUAUAAAUAGUAAAAGUCAUUUCAAAGGCCAAGGACCCUCACCUUCAAGUCUCUUUCGCAUCUCAAUUUUGUUUCGAUUGAAUUCAAUCUAUAUUACAUCCAUACUUAGGUUUAACUCAAUUCCAAUUUAAUUCAAUAAUAAAAUAAGAAAUUCUAUAACAAUGCUUGUCGAUUCAAUAUAAAUCAAUCAAAAUUAUGAUUCUCCAAUUUAUGUUACCUUCUCAAAAAAAUUACGAUUCUACAAUUCAAUAUAGUACGAUGAUAACCAAUAUUUGAUGAAAAUCAUGAUUAUUCAACCACUGUUUGGCAAAAGUAUCAUUCACUAUCGCACCGAGUUUUAUCCAUAAUUCUCACUCUGUAGGAAAAUCACGCCCCUCUAUCACCCACACACAAGCCAUUAAAAACUCUACAAUGCCUUCCAAAACUUAAGACAUCAGUCUACAAUAUCCAAAACCAUGUAGACAAACAUGAAUUCUUUAAAGCAAAACUGCAAACAGUUAAUUUGUUCAUGGAGCAAUAAAAGAAGAUAGCAGUUAGCGAACUAAGUACAUGACCAUUAGCGGUACACAUAGAUAUCAAGUUCCUUUGGCAUUGUAAGUAAGCAGCAAAUUAUUUUUAAGCAAUGAACAAACAUUAGCACCAGAGUGCAAAUGAAUUACUUCCAGAGAUACAACCGCGAGAACUAAAGAGCUACUUUUGUUCAUAGUGAUUAGGGAACCAACUGUCGUUCAACUAAUUAUAAACUUCCCUGUGCUAUUUUAAUCUUCUAUUAACCAACAGAAGCGCGAACCUUGUUGCAAAAGUAGAGUAUUGCUAGUAUAUACAGUCAAACCAAUCAAGAAGAAUGUUACUGAAGGACAACAAACAAGACAAUCUAUCUAAACAUUGUUUUAACAGUGCAUUACAAUACAAUACAAUAUAAAACUGUGGGGACACUUGGCCAUGAAAAUGUUGUGCUUUCUCCCGGAGUUGAAAUCCGGAAACCACGCUUGGCCAUAAAAUUCCGGAAAAUCUGGAAUUCCUUUCAGGAAUUUGAAUAGCAUCAAAAAGCUAUUCUCACUUUUUUCGCUCCAAAUUAUUCACAAAAUCCAAAACAAGACCAAUUUGUAUUCAUGGCCAAACACAACUCCAAUUUUCAAAUAUUAUUUUUCACUUUGAAAAAAACUACAUUUUUUCAAAUACUCACAAUUUUCAUGGACAAACACUCCGCAUGUGGAACAACAAUCCAAAAAGGCGCACCUCCCACCCUCUACUCUCCACCACUCACGACUCCAGGUGGGAGCCACUAAAAUUACACUGUUUAUACAUAGUUAAAAUUACUUUUCAUAUGUAUAGAGAGAGAGAAUGUUUAACCCCCCCUUUGGUAUGUUUGUGUAUCAACUUUUCAUAUAUUGAACACUGUUAGUGAGAGUAGUGACUCCGCCAUUGACAAUGAAAAUAUAAAAUAAAAAAAACCAUAACAAAUUCAAAGAUAACAAUAAUAGUAGUAGUAGAAUCCAUGUCAUGUAGCUCAACUUUAAACUAGCGCACACACUAUUUAGCUGAUUUGUUAUACCAAAUACAUUCAAAAGUAAACAUAGUUUCAGGCAGGGUGGAGCUGCACUUUGCCGAGGGUUAGGGUUAAAAUUAUUUUUUUUCACGUAUAUAAAGUAGAGGUUAAACCAUUAGUUCAUAUGUUAACGAAAACCCUUUUCAGGAUCUAAUAGUCAAGAAAAAAACGGAAAAAGAAAAAUAAUAUUGCAAAAACCUGAGACUACUUCGCCGGCAUACCAUGGGCAGUGGAAGGAGCACAUACAAGCUUAAUUAUUAAAUAAAAAAUAUUUUUAUAUUUAACUAAAAGUAUUUGAAAAUUUAUUUUUUAAAAAAAUAUAAUUUGACUCUUUAAAUAUUAAAGAUACUAAAUAAUGAAAUAUGAGAGUAAUUCUUUUUUCAGAUUUUUUGAUGAUGAAUUUUUUUGACAAAAAAUAAAAUUAUUAAUAUUUUAUGAAAUUUAGAACAAAAUAAGUAAUUUAACAUGAAAUAUUAGAAUUUCAUACACAUUUAAAAAUAUCAACAUAAAUUUGUUAACAUAUAUUUUUAGCAAAGAGAAACUAAUAAAGUUAAAAAAAUAUAGGCUUUUUAAUUUCUUUUGUAUGAUUUAAUAUGAAGGAAAAUAAUUAAACUAAAUAUUGUGAAGUAUAUUUUAGUAAACAAACAAUAUAUUUUUACAAACAAUUCAUUAUAUAUUAUUUUUAGUACCACAAACUAAACAAUCACUAAAAAAUAAUACCACAUAACUAAUCUCAACAUAGUUUAUCCCACCAUAACUAAUUCCUAUAUAAUUUGUUUUCAAACCCUAGAAUUCACUACUCUUUUUAACUAUUACUAUUAUCGGAUGAAAUGGCACAAAUGCCAAGAAAAUCACUAUUUGCCUAUUUUUGUAAUUAACUCAGUUAAAUAGUAGGAGUAGAUUAGUAACCUCAUAAAUUUUGAUUACCCAAAAUUUCAAACUUCUAAAUCACUUAAUUAAAACCACAAACUAUAUUCUGUCCCUUUUGUCAACAAAAAAAAAUCAUUUUUCGAGAUUUCACUCUCUAUUCAAUAAAUUUUUGUUGUCCACCCUCUCCCCUUCGUUAUUCUUCGAGAAAAGUAUCUAUUACUUUGAAUUUGUCAAAUUUUAUUUAUGAUAUAUCUAAACUUUGAUUUGUAUUAAGUAUUUUUAAACUUUUUUUUAGUAUAUCGCGUGGACCUUUUUGCUGAUGUGGCAAAAUGUUUAGAUUUCACACACCAUCACGCGCGUGAUAGAGUGAUUUUUAAGACAAAUCAGCCUUUUUAAUGGUUAAAAAAAAUGAAAAAAAAAAUGUUUUUCUUUAAUUUUUUCAAAAAAAAUCAAUUAUCCCUCUUGCUAUUUAUUUAUCCCUCUUCCUUCAUUACUUCCAAUCUAGAAAAUAAAAUUCAUCAAUUUAUUAAUUUUGUAAAACUCAUGUUUAUCUCUUAAUUAGUUUAUGUUAUAAAACUUUCAUCCGUUAAUUAAUUUUAUAAAAAUUUCAUUUAUUAAUCUAAAAAAAAAAAUUCAUCUGUUUAUUAAUUCAAUCUAAAACUCCAAUUUUCAUUUUUAUGAAACUACUUCAAUUUUGUAAUCUUAAUUAUAUAUAUAUCAUAUGAGUUAUUGUAUAUAAAGAAAUGUACUAAAUAUCGAAGCAGAUAUUUUAAAAGAUAAUAACAAAACAAAUACUAAAGAAACUAAUACACAUACUUAUAAUAAAGAGAAUGUAGUUAUAUUGAUUAUCGAUUUUUAGUCCCUAACGAUUUGAUUUUCGAUUUAACCGAUAAGAAAAUACUCAUAAAAUUAAAAAAGUAGUAACUAACAUGAAAAGAAACCAAAUCUUAGUUGCAACCAAAAUUCUACUUAUAUAGAGAGAGAGAAUGUAAAAUAAUAAUUUUGCAUAAACUUAUUGGGUUAUCGAUUUACCCAAUAAAAGAAAUCAAAAUCGAAUCAAUAACCCAAAAAUUUUUUUUUAUAAAAUCAUUAAAAAAUCGUUAACCCUAUAACGAUAAAUCAAUAACAUUUUUAUCAGCUUGAUUUUUGUACGUCCCUAACUUAAAUUACAAUUUCUUACUCCGUUAAUUAUACUAAGAAACGUAUUUGUGCAUGUGAGUCUCCUCAAAAUCCUAAUCGAAACACUAAUCGAAAACUACUAUGAAACAUUAACCGAAAAAAAAUAAUUUCAUAUUUUUAACACACACCAAAAAAUAUAAAUUUUUAGAUAAUAACUUACUUGAUCGAUGAAAAUUCAGUCAUUCAACAUUUUGGAGUAGAGUAAAACUUAAAAAUAUAAUUUUUUUAGAGAGAAAUCAGAUAAUUAAGGGUAGAAGAGGCUUAUUUUUCAAUAUAGGAUAAAUAUAAGGGAAGUGGAUGGUAUUUAUCCACGUGGACAACCACAUUAGCAUUUUUUUUCAUGUGUCCGCGCGUGUAUUACACGUAGUGGACUUUCAGCAAAAAGGGGUCACGCGACGUACUAAAAGAAAAAGUUCGGAGGGAUACUUAGGACUAGUAAAAGUUCAGGUGUACCAUGAAUAAAACUCGACAAGUUCAGGGGGUAAUGUAUACUUCUCUCUUAUUCUUCUUUUGAGUUAUCACAUACCGUUGUAUAAAUUAUUGCAAAAAAAAAAAUUAAUUUAAAUGAGACACAACCAACAAUAAUUGUGUGAGGCACCACUUAUUUUUUUUUACAAGUGUUUUGUAGUUUCAUUUUGUCAUUCAAUGUUGUUCUCCCUUAUUUCCUCAUAUUUCUUUUGUUCCGUUUUUGCACUUUUUUUUAGUAAACCAGAGAUUGCAUUAAUUAAAAUAAAAGAGUUUCAGUCCAGCUUUUAGCCUGGAUUGUAGAUCAUAGUUCAGGGGAUUUGAUCUGUGGUCUAAUUUAUUAUAUAUGUCAACCUCCCUUUCGAAGGUAGUUCUCUUGAUGUCUGCGUAAAAAGGUUUGUAGGCACACAUUGGAGGAACUUCAAAAAGUAUUGAUUCAGCCAAAAACUUGGAUUCUGCUCCUAGCUUGGCCAUUGCAUCAGCUACAGUAUUCUGCUCUCGAAAUACAUGCUUCACCAGUGGAUUUUCAAGUUUCAUUAGAUUUGACCUACAAUCAUCCAGGGUAGCAUUAUAAAGGAGAUUCCCCUUGGUUAGUAGUUCAAUUAUCUCCGUAGAAUCAAUUUCAAUUUCAAUAGGCAUCAAGUGUUGGGAUUCAAUAAUUUUCAUACCUUCAAUAAGUGCUAAAAGUUCCAUGUGGUUAUUAGUGGCCAUAUGGAAGCUUUUGGUGAAACCAGUGAACCAUUGGCCAUUGGCAUCUCUGAUGACGUCUCCAAUUCCCCCCUUCUCUGGGUUACCAAGGCAUGAACCAUUUGUAUUAAGCUUAUAAGCACCUACCUUAGGAGGGGUCCAUCUAAUCUGGAUGGUAAUCUUAAGUUUGGGGAGUUUUGAGUUCUGUCUCAAGAACUUGAAUUCAAUUUCCUCAGAAUAAACCUCGUAAUGAGAAGGUUUUUCCUUUUUGUGGUUAAAAGCAUUGUUGUUUCUGGACUUUCAGAUGGUCCAUAAACAGAAAGGAAGGAGCUCUUUCCAAUAAAGGAAGUGAUCGCAUUUUUUAUUCUUGAGGAGAAUCCAGGUAGAUCUCCAGCUGAAUGGGUAAAAGCUGUUGGGUGAGAGGGUGAGACUCUGGGUGGAUUUGUUGAGGAGGGUUGUCCAGAAAUCAUGAGUGGCAUUACAUUCAGAGAAGAUGCGUUUUAUGUCUUCAUGGUGGCUGCUACAGUAGUGACACAAGGGGUUGAUGUCUAUGCCUCUUCUGUGAAGAAUUGAGUUGGUUAGGAGACUAUUAUGAUGUAUCAUCCAGAGCAAGAAGUUUUCAUAGCCAAUUGAAUUCUUCCAUUUGAUUGGAGUUGGUGAUUGGAUGGUUCCUCUUAUUGGUAAUGAAGGAGUAAGCACUAGCACGGGUGAAUAUCCCAUUUCCAGUGAGGCCCCAAGUAGGAAGGUCUCUGUCUAACCUAGGGUUAGGCUUGAAGGUGAUGAUGAUGGAUUUUUUUAUUGGAGUAGGGAUAUCAAAGGAAAUAUUAUCAAACAUCCAACCUUGGUUAGUCCAGAUGUAGGAAAGUUUAAGGGUGCUUUCAGAUUCAGUGAGAGGCCCAUAGAGAAAAUGCCUAAGAGGAGGGAGAUGGGGAAUCCAUCUGUCAAACCAAAAACUUAUUUGUCCACCAUCAUGUGCCACCCAUUGAAUGGCUUUUUUGCAUAUGAGGUAGCCUUUAUAUAGGCUUUUCCAAGUUCUAGAGGAGUUUGGUUUACAAUGGUUGGUCCCAUUUUGAUAUUUGGAGCUGCGAAUCUUAACCCAAAGAGUAUGGGUUUUUUUUAUGAAUCUCCAGUCCAAGCUACAAAGAAGAGAUUUAUUUUUGGAGUCAUCUCUUUACAUUCCCAAACUGCCCUAACUUUUAGGAUGAGUGAUGAUGUCCCAGUUAAUGAGGUGCAUCUUUUUUUUAUCUGGGGAUUUCCCCAAAUGAAGUCCUUUUGAGCUUUAUCAAUAAGCUGCAGAGUUUUUUUGAGGAGAGUGAUGUACUGCAUUACAUGAUUUGGAAUACAACUCAGGAAAGAUUUAGCUAGAGUGGUUCUCCCAGCCAUAUUUAGGAAUUUGGUUUUCCACCCAACUAAUUUGGAGUUAAGAUUAUCUGUGAUGAACUGAAAGUCCCCAUGAGAGGGUUUCUUGUGGAAGAUGGGAAAGCCCAGAUAUUUUCCAAAAAACUCACUUGGUUUGAUAGAAAGCAUUGUGGCCAUGGAGUGUUUGUCAGAGGGGGUGCAGUUGGAGGAGAAGAUAACUUUUGAUUUCCAAUGUUAAUCUUUUGGCCCGAAUGGUAACUGAAGCUUUGAAGAGUAUUGAUAAUGGUAUGACAUUUUUUGGAGCCAGCCUUAGCAAAGAGAGUUAGAUCAUCUGCAAAAAAGAGGUGAGAGAUCUUGGGGCCUCUUAUGCUAGUUGAUAUGGGGUUCCAAUUGUGAGUGUCCACCUCAUGGUUUAUCCUUUUUUAUAGUAGUUCCAUACACAAUAUAAAAAUGUAAGGAGAUAGGGAUUUACCUUGUCUAAUCCUUCUGGAAGGCGUGAAAAAAUUUGUUCUACUCCCAUUCACCAGCAUAGAGAUGGAGGAAGAAGUGAUGCAAGACAUGAUAAGAGAGGUUAAGCCAGGGCAAAUUAAAAAAGUGAAGGGCUUGUCUGAUGAAAGACCAUUCGAUUCUAUCAAAGACUUUCUCCAAGUCAAUCUUAAGGAUCAUAUGAGCCCUUUUCCCCCUCAUUUUGGAGAAGUGGGUGAUGAAUUCCUUGACUAUGAUGGCAUGGUCAGAAGUUCUCCUAUUUGGUAGAAAGCUGGCUUGGCUUUGUCCUAUCAGGUUUUGCAAAUAAGGCUUGAUCCUGUUGGCCACAAUCUUGGUAAUUAUUUUGUAUCGAGUAUUGGAUAGGCCUAUUGGUCUGAAAUUUUUCAGAUUUGAGGCAUGGUUACACUUUGGGAUGAGACACAGGUAGGUUGCAUUGACUUUCUCUUUUAUGGAGAAAGGAGUAAAAGUCUGAUUACAGAAGUUGAUGAUAAAAUCUCCCAUGAUGUUCCAAUAUCUUUGAAAGAGGAGGGUGGAUGUCAUCAGGGCCAAGAGUUUUGGAGGGCUUGAAAGAGAAGAUAGGCUUUUAAAUUUUAGCUAUAGAGGGAAUAACAUCCAGAUAUUGGUGGUCCUCAGAGCUUAUAGAGCCAUGGAUAAAGGGGUUGAGUUGGUAUCGGAGUCUAGAAGAGUUAUGAUUAGUGGUGAAGAGGUUGGUAUAAUAAUGAAGGAUGGUGUUCCUGAUGUCUUCCUGACUUAAAACCCAGUUCCCAACAUCAUCUUUCAAAGAGUUUAUCCUAUUUCUCCUUCUUCUAUUAAGAGUAGAGAUAUAAAAGAACUUGGUAUUUGCAUCUCCCUCAGUGAGAUAGCUGAUCUUGGAUUUAAGUUUCCAGAAAUUAUGAUCAAGUCUGACAAGUUAGCUAAAAUCAUGAGAGAGUUUAUUUUCGAGCUCUUGGAGAAAGGUACUUGUAGGAUAUCUAGGAGAUUUCUGGAUCCCUGCUAAUCUAGCUAGUAGGUCUAUCUUCCUUCUAAAGAUGUUUCCAAAGGUAUUUUUAUUCCAGGCUGUGAUGUGAGUCUCAAAGUGGGAAAUAACACUGGUGAGGUUUGUGGAAUUGCCAAAGGAGUUGAGAACCAUGACAUUAAAGGUGGGGUGAGAACACCACAUAGUUUCCAUUCUAAAAGUCUUAGAAAAGAUUUUAUGGUCCCUGGUAAUAGUGAACAGUAGGAGGCAGUGACAGAGUGGGUUCUUGAGAAGUGAGUAAUAGAGGUUUCAGGAAAGAUGUCAAGCCACUGAGUGUUGGCCAGGCAUCUAUCAAGCCUUUCAAGAAUGAGAGCAUGCAUGUUUCUGUAUCUUUUAUUGGACCAAGUAAAUUUACUACCCUUAAAACCAAGAUCGACAAGAUUGUUUUUAUUAAUGCAGUCCCAGAGGAAAGAAGCCUUGUGGGUGUUGAUAUUAUUGCCUCCAAACUUCUCAGAGGCUUUUAGUACCUCAUUGAAGUCUCCCUCAAUUUUCCAUGGACUGUCGGAAUGGUUGUUGAUGGUAUCAAAAAGUCCACAAUUUGGUUCCAAAGGAGCUUUCUAUCUUCUAAAUUAUACGAACAUAAACAACAGUGAAGAACCAGGUUUAUGGGGGAUUGAGUACCUGGACAAUGACAUAGAGAGCCUGGGGGAGAUGGAAAUAUCAGUGAUAUUUAUGGAGAUAUCAUUCCACAUAAUCACAAGUCCUCCAAAAUUUCCAUUGGCAGGGUAUUGGAUUUUAUGAGUAAACCCCAGAUCCUCAGUGAUGGUUUGGUAAUCAUUCAUUCUAGUUUCCAAGAGAGGUAGGAUGGAAGGCUUGUGGAUAUCCAGCAUUAAUUUGCAAUGCCUCCGAAACUUAGGAUUGUUUGCCCCUCUAGUAUUCCAUAUGAGAUAAUUCAUUAGGAAAUUUGCUUGGUGAUAAUGGGGAUCCACCAUGGUUUCCUUCCCCUUCUCCCCAAUUUGUGGGGGUGAGGUGUGUAACUGGUUCUCCAAAAUCAGUGUUACUGGGGUCAUUUUGGUAAUGAAGAAAUGUUAUGUCAGAGGACCUGAUAGAGAUAUCUCUAAGGUGAACUUGAGAAGAUUGAGGGGUAGUAUUAUGAUUUUCAUUUCGUUUACUACCUCCUUGAAUUUUGAAGUUAGUGACUUUUCUAACACUAGCACAUCUGUUCUUGGAACUCUAAGGUAUGCAAGAAUCAUUUUCAUUUCUCUGUUGUUUUCCUUGAGAGAUUUGAUGGUUUCCUCCCUCUUCAUUAUUUCCAAUGUUAGUUUAAGUGGAUUGGUUGGGGGGUCAUAAUGUUUGAGGUCUCCGUAGACACCCUCGUAAAGAAUGGGCAUGUCUUCAGUAUCCCUGGAAUUCGUUGGGGGAAGAAUGAGAGUAUUGAGCUGGUUUGGUCCAUCAUGGCAGAAAAACCUGUGGAGUUAGACCCUCCAUUGAGGUUACAUUUGGGAAGUUCAUUAGAGUGGAUUUCAAAAUGUUCUGUUUGUAUCUCUGCAGACCUUGAUAUAGCUCUUCUAUUACUAGUUGGGCUAGGAAGUGGGGGUUUUGGAUUAUCAAGAUGCAUUGUCUUUAUUCCAUUUGGAUUCUCAGGACAACAGCCUGGUUCUCCAAGUUUAUUUCCAACCAUGAGGUUGGUAGAUGAGAGGGGGGUAGCGGAGCCGUGUGAAAGAUGAUGGUAUUCAUGUGUGGAUUUCGAGGAGUAGGGAUGUAAAGAAGUGUUGGAGAAGUGAGAAAGUUUAGAAGGUUUGCCCUCUUUAGUAAGUUGGAGAAGUGUUUUUUGAGGCACUGCAACAGCAGACAUAGGGGUAUCAACCCCUUUAGGGUCAGAGGGUAAUGAUGAAUUAGAGUUGGAUGAGACAUUAUACUUCCUCUCCCUGGUGGCAGAACUAUCAGGUUGAUUGUUAGACUUGGCCGCCGUUUGGGAUUGAGUUGGAUUUGGGAUCGCAGGAUCCCGAGGUAUGACUUUUUGGUUAGUCAUAAUUUGAUUUUUUGAAGGGAUUUCCUUGGAAGUGGAUCCCUCAUUUGACCCAUGUUAUGAGGGUUUGUAAAAGGUUUGGGUCUUCCUUGUUCUUGUAGGUUGAGGGCCUAAAACCAUGGACCGUAGAAAUAGUUCUCUUUUUUGUUGGGCCUGCUUUGUGAUUGGGCCUCGUACCUUCCGUGUUGCAAGUAUUGGGUAGGUUUUUUUACUAGCAGCGCAGCUCGACUCGCCGGCGGCGGGUUGCUGCUUACUAGUCUGUGUCGUUGCCUGAGAGUUUUUGGGGUCUAGAAACUUACUCGUAGGGGCAUCAUAGUACUUGACCUUAACUGGAUUUUGUGGAUAGAGCGUACUUCUUGUUUCAGCGUGCUUGUCCGAUUAAAACGUUUUUUUUCUUUCUUAAAGUGGACAGUCUUCCAUUCGCUGGGUAUGUCUUUUCUUGUUGAAUUCAUCGUUGAUGUUUCCGUUUAGGUGGCCUUUUGGGAAAUUAUGUGUGGGCAUGACCCAACAGUGUGUCCCAAUCUCCGGCAUACUUUGCAGAGAAUUCCUUCGCCUUCGUAGACGAUGUCUUGGUGAUGAUUUUCAAUGGCAAUGGUUGUUUUGAGAAUUUUUUCCACCGGGACCUGAUCAUAAAUUCUAGCAUAUCUUCCUCGAAGCGCCGACGACGUGCAUGUGUCGAUCUUGACUAGCUUACCUAUUUUUCUACCCACUUUCUCAAGAAUGGUGAGAUAGUAGUACUCCGAUGGUAACUGAGGGUCUGAGCCAAAUUGUCGUAGUUUGGAUCUUUGAUUCAGUUGGAACGAAGUCAGGUUCCCAAACGCGUACUGUUAGGAAGGAUCCUGCGAAGAACCACGGACCCUCCUGUAUUGCUCUUUUUUGGAUUUCCUCUUUAGAGAGUUUGACAGUGAAGAAGCCUUGUCCUAGAUUAAUGAGGAUGAUAUGUUCCGAUACUUUCCAGAGAUCUGUGAUUUUCUUAUGGAGGAAUUGGUGAUUAAUUCUCCUCCCCAAAACCUUAACUAUGACAGAGUGCCUCCAUGGCUUAUAGAUCCGUUUCUUAUCCUCAAUUGAUAGUAUAAUUGGUUCAUCAUUUCAUUAGAAAGAGAUGGGAUAUUAGGACCUUCAAGAAGCGUAUUGAAAGUCUUUUGGUUUUCAUUUCCUUUUUCUUUUAUUGCAUCACAAUAUGAUGUUUUAGAAUUGACAUCGAUUGUCAUUUGGCUGCUGAUAUCUGGAGGUUCCGGCGGUGAUGGAUCCUUAUUCGGUAUUGUGUGUGGGUUUAACUCGCUGGGAAUUUGGGAACACCGAGGGAGAGGCUUUCCUCUCUCUAGAAUUCUCCCCACAUUUGAAUAUAACUUUCUUAUAAAAAUGUACUCGUUUUUGCACUUCACUAAUUUACCUAUUUUCUUUCUUUGCUCUUAAUAAUACUUUUCUAUUUUUAUUUUCUUUCUAUUUUAUUUACUUGAUCUCUAUAUUAAAUAUUUACUUAUCUAUUUUCGUAAAUCAAGAGUAUUUAUUAAUUUGUUUUUUCAUAUUACCAUUAGUAUUAACUAAGUGCAUCAAAUAGUAUAAUACUUGUUUACUAUUAACUUGACACACAAGUUAAGAAAUAAUAAAUAAUACAGAUAAUGUUACCAUAUCACCUUUUGAAUAUAGUUAAUUUAUUGCUUUAAAAAAUAAUCGAAUAAUGAAUAUUAUUAAUAUCAAUGAUAAAAUGAAUAAAAAUGGAUAAAUUAUUCAUUAGUUUUCAAACUGUACAAGUAUUCUUGGACAUAUUAGUAUAAUAACAUUGUUGGGCGAAGGAGAAGUAGUCAAAUUUAGAGUUUUAAAAUAUUAUCAAUAAAGUUAAUUUAAUCAUACAUCUUUAAUUAUUUUUUUAAAGGGAUGAGCCAAAUCAAGGAGCCAAGUAAAAUAAAACAAAAGAAAUAUCUCAAUCAUUUCCUAGCUUUUUUUCAUAUUCCUACCUAGGGUUGGGCAUAAAAUACCAAAAAUCGAAUUACCGAACCGAAUCAAAAAAUUUGAUAAUUGAUAUUCGAUAAUUUGAUAUUUGAUAUGGUAUUUGGGAGUAAAAUUUUAAUAUUUCAGUAGUCGGAAUUGGGUUUGGUACAAGAUAUUAAUACCGUUUAGUAUUCGGUAUUUACCAAAUAUCAAAUAUAUAUAUAUGUAUACACACAUAUAUAUACAUAUGUCCAACCCAACCCAAUAGACAAAAUACUAGUAAUCUCAAAGAAUCUCUUGGGCCUUGGUAAUAUAUUCGUAAAAAGCAAAAAAAAAAAGAAUAUUAAAUAGAGUUUCUAUUAAAUAUGCUCUCUGAAAUUUAAACGUAUAUUUGCAUAUCUCCAACUUUAAUAUGGUAUUAUCAAAUACCGUACUGAACCAAAGUUUAAUUUAUCGAUUACCGAACUACUGAACCGAUGUUUAUAAGUAUGGUAUGUGGUAUCUAUGUUCAAAUACCAAUUACUGAAUUACCGAACCCGAACUUUGAAAAUAGCAAACCGAAUACCGAACGCCCACUCCUACUCCUACCAAGAAAAUUUAUCAAUAACUUAGUUGAAUUUUUCUUUUCGAUUAAUCGUUGAGCCCCUCAAUUAAAAAGUGUCCAUGAAAAUAGUGAAAUGCAAAAAUGGUAUAUUUGUAGAUAGAGGUAUUUAUAAAAAAUUAAAUUAAAAAUUGAUAAAUCUCUUUAAAAAAUUAAUUAAUAUAUAUAAAUUUUAUGAUACAUAUUAAUAUUUUAUUUUUUAUUUGUAAUAUAGAAUUUAAUUGUUAUAUUGAUAUUGCACGUAUCAUUAAAAUUGUAAGCUACGGAAGUCUAAAAUAUUACACCCUGUCUCCCUCCGUUUAUUUUUAUUUAUCUAUUUUUCAAUAUUGAGAUGUCUAACAAUACUUGUUUAAUUUAUAAAAUUAAUGAUAAUUUAUUUAUUUUUAUUCAUUUUACUUAUAUGAAUCAUUAUCUAAUGCAUUUUCAAAAGCAUUAAAUUUAGGGAUAACUACAUAUUUUAGCAAACAUGGACUUCUAAUUACCCUAUUUAGCCUAAGGUUCAAUUAAUUAUAAUCCAUAGCCCCUCUUUCCUAUUAAUUAUUCCUAAUUACAAUCUAUAGUUUUUCUCAUGUAUUUUCUCUCUUUUUCUAUUUUCUAUUAUUCUUUUUUUUUCCCUUUCCAGUUUUGUUUCUUCAGUUUUUCUUUUCCUUUUUUUGUUGUUUUCUCUUUAUUUUUUAUCACUUUUUUAUUUUUUAUUCAUUUUUUUAUUUUUCAUUUUUUUCCUCUUUUUUCUUCUUUUUUUUUUUUUGUGUUUUUUCUCUAUAUUCUAUUACUCUUCUUUUUUUGUAUUUUUUUUCUCCUUCCUUUUCUUUCAUUUUUUCUCCUUCUUUUUUUCUUUUCAAUUUUUCUCCUUCUUUUCAUUUGUGCGAUUUAGCAAAUACAAAUAUAAGUGCGAACUAUAAAAUACAAAUAUAAAUGCGAACCAUAACAUACAAAUACAAGUGCAAACUAUAAAAUACAAAUUCAAAUGUGAACUAUAGCAUAUAAAUACAAGUGUGAACUAUAAAAUACAAAUACAAUGUGAACUAUAACAUAUAAAUACAACUGUAAACUAUCAUUUGUAUUUUUUAAUUAUUGAAAAGGAACAAUUGAUUUUCUUUCUAUGAAUACUUGUUUGUAUUUAUUGAUACUAGUUGUAUUUAUUUAUACAAAUAAAUACAACUCAAAUUUUUAUAAAAAUACAAUAUAUACAAAUACAUAUUGUCUUUGUAUUUGUAAAAUCAUUUGUUUCAUUUGUUUGUCAUUGUAUUUGUAUCAAGUGAUAUUUGUUUAUUUACAAAUAUGAAUGAUAAUUUUGAUAUACAAAUACAAAACGGUACAUUUGUAUCAAAUGAUACAUUACAUAUUUAUAAAUUUUAAAAUCAAGAAAAUAUAAUUAAUGCAUUUACUUGUUUGUAUACAAAUACAAAUAAUAAACUGUACAUAGUCACGGUUAAAUACAAUAUUCAAUCAACUUACUAAUACAAAUACAAAAUAAUUUUCUUAAAAUAAAAAGGUAUCGACGAAAAUAGAAUACAAAUACAAGUAUAAUUCAAACAUAAUCUAAAUAUACAAACACAAUAAAAUCAUAAUAUAAAUAUAAUCCAAUAUAAUAUGCAGUCAAUUAUAAAAUACAAAUACAAAAUAGUUUUGUAAAAUACAAGUGCAAAUUAUAUAAAAUAUAAAUAAUGGCGCAAACUAACAAAUACAAAUACAAGUGCGAACUAUUAAAUACAAAUACAAAUGCGAACUAUAAAAUAUAAAUACAAGUGUGAACUUUAAAAUACAAAUACAAAUACAAAUAAAGUUGUAUCAAGGAAUACAAAAAUAAAAUGACGGUGUGACUAUAAAUAGGAUAAACAAUUGCGUUAUUUACGUUAUCAUCCAUGACUUGUACUCGACUAGUCAUACUUUUUGAAAAUACAAAAAAAUAUAAAAUAGAACAAAAAAAUGAUAAAGAAAAUAAGUACAAAAAUAAAAAAUAAAAAAAAUCAAAGAAGAAAAGAAAAGAAGAAAGAGAAAUAGCAGUUAGAGAUUAAAGAGAGAGGAAAAAAAGAAAAAAAGAAAAAAUAGAAAAAAGAAGAAAAAAAAAGGUGAAAAACACGAAAAAGAAAAAAAUAUAUAAAAAAAGAUAAGGAUAGUGUUAGGAAAGAAAAUAUUUAGUUCAACGAGAUAAACGUGAUUGCGAGUUUUUUCUUUUUAAAAAUAUUGAAUUCCAUUUUUGGCGCAACUAAAUAGGGACUGUAUUUAUAUUUUAUAUGAACUAAUUUAGGUGCACGCGCUUUGCGCGUGUACCUCAAUUUAAUGAGUUUAAAUAUUACACUAAAUAGGAUAUUUAUUUAAAUAAUAAAUAUGAAUAUAAUAAUUAAAUUUAAUAUCUUUUGAGUAUUUAAAGAUGGAUAAUUUAUUUAUUAAACUUAUUUUUUAUCAAAAAUAUUUUUAAAAGUCUAUCUACAUUAAUCUACCAUCUGUAAAUUUCAACAAAAUAAUACAAUGAUAGAGACAUCAAAAUAAUACAAUUAAAUCUAAUCUUUACAAAUAAUUUUUUUUUUUCAAAAUCCUCCGAUACUCAUCUACCACCUAUAAACAAUAAUAAAAUAAUACGAUAAUAGAGAUAUCAAAAUAAUACAACCACACCUAACCUUUACAUAAAAAAAUUUCUCAAAGUCGACCAACAUUUAUCUAUCUCCUAUAAAUUGCAACAAAAUAAUACAAUAAAAGUGAUAUCAAAAUAAUACAAUUAAACUUAAAUUUUACACAUAAAAAUUUCUCAAAGCCGAUGAGAUUCAUCUAUGAACUAAACUACCACAAAAUAAUAAAUUAAUAGAGAUAUUACAAUAAUACAAUUAAACCUAACAUUUACCUAAAAAGAAUUUCAAAGCCGACUCACACUCAUUUAAUAGUUAUAAAUUAAAAUAAAAUAAUAAGAUAAUAAGGAUAUCAAAACAAUACAAUUAAACCUAACUUUUACACAAGAAAUUCUUUAAAGUCAACCGACAUUCAUGUACGACCUAUAAACUAUAAGAAAAAAUAUAAUAGUGAUCACAAAGCUUCAAUUUUGAUCCAAUUAAUUAUUGUCUGAGUGAAAAUUUUGACCCUAAAGAAUGAUUUUGAAUAUAUAUAUAUAUAUAUGCUGACAAAAUAGUGAAGAAGUUAAGGGUUGGAAAAUCAAGCAUCCACCAAUCUAGACAUGCAAUCGAAUCAAGUUAGAUGAGCAUCAAUCAUAUUCUCCCAAUAGGCAAAUCGGUUUAUUCUCUAGUUUAAUGUACAUCUCAAUAUUUAUAGAAGUAUUUCCUUAAUAGAGUCCUAUUUUAGGUGUAUUUUUCUAAUUGAACAAUAAAAAAGAAAAUAUUAAUUAAUUCUCAUAUCAUAUAUUUUAGGAGUCCCAUGCAUUUUAGGAAGUUUAGUAGAAGGAAAAUAUUAAUUAAUUCUCCUACCAUAUAUUUUAGGAGUCCAUAUAUUUUAGGAAGUGCUCUCUACUUCUCUUGAGGUAGUGGUAUGGUCGUACACUCUACCCUCCCCAAACCCCAUUAGGUGAAAAUUCACUGGGUAUGUUGUUGUUGUUGUAUAUAUUUUAGGAAGUCUAGUUAAUAUAAUAAAAGAUAAUUAAAUAAUAAAUUUUAAAAAAUAAUGAAAAGACAAUUUAGUCUAAAGAAGAGUUUUUUAAUGAAGGGCAAAAAAUUCAAAUAAUUUUUUUAAGGGUCUUCACAUUUUAAUAUAUUAUAGAUUAUAGAUUAUAGAUACAUACUAUCUGUAAAAUCGAAUACAACGGGCGUAAAUCGAAUACAGCGGCUAUAAAUGGUAAUUAUGUAAAAUGUGGCUAUGGAAGAUGGUUUUUAUAGCAAAGUGCUGCUAUUUUAGAAAAAUUCCCUUAAAUUUACUAUGUUCAAAAAGUAAUAUGAUACUUAUCUCAAUAAAAAAGUGGAUAAAUAAAGAUAGACAGAGAGAGUAACAAAAAAACAUAAACCAAAAAAAAGUCGAAGAAGAUAAAAUUUACAACAAUAUUGAGAAGAUAAAAUUUACAACAAUAUUGAUCUGUUUAUCUCUAUUUAAUUUUGAUAAAUGAAAAUCAAAACUAAAAAUUAAAAAAAAAAAAAAGAGAAAGAAAAUAAAAUACUCCAACAUGAUAAUUAUCUGUGCCAACAAGCAAAAAAAAAAAAAGAAUAUACAUGUUUGCAUGGAUUAAAAGAUGACUCGAGGGGAAAGAAAAAGAAAAGUAAUGAUAUAGAGUGGGACCCACGUGUCGUUAUUUAAUUUUUCACUUUGCCACAUCAUUAGCGUGUGUAUUAUACGUAUUUUACAAUUUUUGCCACAUCAACAGAUUAUGCUUAAUGGAAAUAUUUUGUGAAGGAGUAAAGAGUUCAAUAGGUACAUGGCCUAAUUGAGAUGCUUAUACGGAAAAAGACGAAUAGUUGAGGGGCCUGUAUAUAUUCUUCCUUUUUUUUUGGUAUAAAAGAGCCAUAACUAGGACGAUCAAGGACAAAUUUGUCAAUUAACAAAAAUCUAACUUAAACUUAUUGUACAUCAUUCAAAAAGUGGGAUUUUUUUUUUUUUUUUUAAAAUCAUGUUCCAGAAAAUUCUAAUGACUAUGCUUUGAAAAAUUUAAGAAAAUCAAGUGAUAUCUUAAAGAAGUGGGGCCCAUUAUUUUUCUUUGAAAGGUUAUGGAGAAGUUCUUUUCUUAAAAUUUCUUUAUCUAGUAGCUUCAAAAUUCAUGAUCAUACACUUUUUUUUUUCUUAUUUAUUUAAAUAAUAUACUUGAAUCAAAUGAAAAGAAUAAUUUUAAAUUUAAAGAGAAAUUAUAUUUGAAGUUUGUUUCAUUUAAAUAUUUUUUUAAUUUUAAUAUUCAGAUAAGUUUUCUUUCCCCUCAUCCAAAACCACAGCAUAAACAUUGUGAAGUUUUUUCAUGUAUCUUAAAUUCGAUGUCUCAUCAAAGUUAUAAAAAUUCAAAAUAUUGAAAGACAUAAUUUAUAAGUGAAUGUGUAAAUACUCACAUAUGUUUCAUAAAUAAUAAAAAAGUAAAAUUAAAUUUGGCCACAUAUUUAAUCACAUAAAGUAGUUAUUACUAUAUUAUAGUAAAAUAAAAAAAAUACUCAUAAUUAUUGAAUAGGCGUGUAUCUAUCAUACACAAUAAGUGAAUACCUCCAUAAUUUUAAAACUUCACUUGAUACAUUACAUUACAAAGAUCUACAAUACAUAUAAAUUAUGGAAACAUAAUUACUUACUAAUCAUCUAUUAAAAUUAUUUUAAACAACUUAUUUAAAAUGUAAUAUUAACUACCUUAUGUUAAAUUACUACAAUAUAUAUCAUGUUAACUUUUGUUAAUUCUUUAGAUUUUUCUUAUUUAAGGUAGUAAAUUUAGAUAGACAAAUCAUUUUAAAAGAAAUUCCUUGCUUACUAUAUUAAAUUAAUUUUCUAUUUUUGACGUAUAUAAGACAAGACAUAAAAGCAAUCUUUUAACAUUAUGAUUCAUUAAAACUUUCAUCUAUGUCCUUAUUUUCGUUUGUUAAACACACAUGAAACGAAUUUAAAUGUAUUUAAAAUCAAUUUAUGUAUGGAUUAGUAUUAUUUAUUACUUCAUAUGAUUCUAUAAAAAAAAUGCUAAUAAAUAGAUAUUUAUAACUUUAAUCUAUUCUCUUGUAUAGUUUUUAAAUAAAGUAGAACAUUAAAAUUAGUUGUUUAAUAUAAGAGAAUGUGUUUGAUCUAAGCACUAGAGUGUAGAUUGUAUGGUAUUUUAUUAUAUUUAUUCAAAAAUAUUAAUAAUUAUUUUUUAAAAAAUAAUUAAAUAACUCUCUAUAUAUUUAAAAUUGUAAUAUUGGGCCCGUAAACGGGCCCUUCAUUAUCUAGUUGACUUGUAGAAAAGGUAAGUGGUCUGCACUUGUCAAUUACUCAUAAGUUAAUUAACAGAAUAAUAACAUAGAACUUUUUUUUCUUUAGUGUUCCCUCUCUUCUUCAAAUAUUUUAUAUUCGACUUAACAUAGCUAAAAGCACUCAAAAUAAGUCAUUUUAAACAUAUAUUGGAUUUGUAGAAUUAACAAAAUAUAAAUUACUUCUUCGUCCUAAUUUAUAUGAGUUACUUUGACUUGACACGAAUUUAAAAAAGGAAAUUAAACUUUUGAAAUUUGUGACCUAAAUAAGUGUAGAUGUUUGUGUAACCAUAAAUCAUUUCAUAAAGGUAAAGUGGGUAUUUGAAAGUUAAAUUGUUACUAAAUAAAAAAUAUGUCCUUUUUUUUAGAAUGAUUAAAAAAAGUGAGUCAAAUAAAUUAGGACAGAGAAAGUACAAAUCAUCCUAUAUAUAUGUGUGUGAUUGUACAAUUGUAAUCUUAAAAUAACUAUUUAUAUAGUUUAUUUGGUAUAGAUUCACGUUUUUAACAUUUUAAAAAGUUCACAACUAAAUUAAGUCUCGCAAAUCAAUAAAAAAAUAAAUCGAGUCUCAAAUUGUCAUGACUUUACUUUUCACAACUAGUUAACUUCUAAUUGAGAAUUAUUGAUUCAAUCUAUGUUAGUGUUGAAUUAAGUAUUAGUUUGCUACGACUAUAGUCAACAUAAUUAAUUGACUUCUAAUUGGGGUAUAUUGAUUCAAUAUAUAUUAGGAACGAAUUGAUUCUCAAUUUAUCAUAAUUAUAGUCAACAUAAAUAGUUGACUUCUAACUGACGAAUGUUGAUUCUAUCUAUAUUAUGACUAAAUUGAGUCUUAAUUUGUCAUGAGUAACGUUAACAUAAAUGUUUGACUUUUUUUUUUUUGUAAAAUAUUAAUGAAAUUUAUAUUAGAAUUAAAUUAAGUCUCAUUUUGUCACGAUUAUAAUCAAUAUAAAUGUUUAGCUUCUAAUUAAAAAAUAUUGAUUCAAUCUAUAUUAUGAUUAAAUUGAGUCUCAAUUUAUCACGAUUAUAAUCAACAUAAAUAUUUGACUUCUAAUUGAAAAAUAUUACUCCAAUCUAUUUUAGGACUCAAUUUAUCUUGACCAACGAUAGUUAACACAAAUGGUUGACUUUUAAUUGGGGAUUGAAUUGAAUUUCAAUUUGACAUAAUUAUAGUCAACAUAAAUGAUUUACUUCUAAUUGAAAAAUAUUGAUUCAAUCUAUAUUAGGAUCGAAUUGAGUCUCAAUUUAUCACGACUAUAGUCAAAAUCAAUGAUUGACUUCUAAUUGGGGAAUAUUGAUUCAAUUCACGUUAUAAUUGAAUCAAGUUUCAAUUUUUCACUACUGUAGUCAACGAAAAUACUUGACUUCUACUUCAGAAAUGUUGAUUUAAUCUAUAUUAGGAUUCAAUCGAGUCUCAGUUUGUGAAUCAUAUGAAUAGAUAACACAAUUGUUGGCUUCUAAUAACUUAAUUUCACUUCUCAAUUGAUUUCUAAUAAGAUGGAGUAAUAAUAAUAAUAAUCAAAUAUUUGAUUUGAGAUGUUUUUUUGAGUUCAAUUUCGAUCAACUAUUUAAAAAUUUAAGUGAAAUAAUAUGAACAUAUUUUUUUAAUUAACCUGAUUGUUGACUUCUAAUAACUCAAAUUCACUCUUAUGUUUAUUUAAGAUUUACUUUUACGAGAUGAAGUAAAAAAUAAUUUAAGAAGAUAUUAGAUUUGAAAUUUUUGUAAGCUUAAUUUUGACGAAUUGUUUAUAUAUUUUUCAGGGGAAAUAUAUAAAAAUAUUUUAAUUUUUUAGUCAACACAAUGGUUAACUUCUAAUAACUUAAUUCCACUCCUAUGUAUAUUUUUAAAAUGAAAAAUUUUUAGAAAAUAACCCAACAUUUAGUCAAUUGGGGAAGCCCAUACCUAACUUUCAAAAUUAUCAUUUGUAGCCAAUGUAUCAACAAUAUGCAACCGACUCUAUUCGAUAUAAAAUAUAAAUACAAUGAGAGUAGGGUUUAUGAGUUAAAAGUGACAAAAUAGUUUUAAAAUGAGGUGUAAGUGACUCAAGUUUUAUUAAUUGAGUGUAGGUGACAAUUACUUUAUUAUGAAUUAAGAAAGUUGAAAAAGUUUGAGAAUAGCUCACGUGUGUUUUAAUUUACACUUUAAUCCAAAUGUAAAACCUAAUAUAAUAGAAAACAGAGGAAAAAAUGCGUGUUUCUCUCUCUUUUCAUUCAUCGUUGUUUUCUCUCUCUUCGCGAUUUUUGUUGUGCAUUGUUGCUGUUGCUUCAUUCAUCAUCUUCUGCUUCAUUAUCAUCAUUUUCUUCUUCAUUAUUAUCAUCAUAUUCUUUUUAUUGACCAUUAUUAUUGUUGUUACCGCUACUGCUGCUACUUGACCAAUUUUUUAGAUCAAAUUUUGUUUCGUACAUCACUUUGGCAUUACUUCAUAGGUGACUUUGGUAAGUAAAAUUAUAAUUUUUAAUUGAAUUUAUCAUUUGGGUACACUUCUACUGUUGUUUUUUCAACAUUGGAUAGAACUCAAACAUGAAUCCAACAUAAGAGGCAUCUGUUUCAAUAGAUGACUCGUCUGUUGCAAUGAAAGACUCAUAUGUUGGAUUCAUGUUUAUGGUUCUAUAGUGUUGUAAUAUGAAUCUAAUAGAUGGGUCAUCUGUUGCAACAAACGAGUUAUUUAUUGCAAUAGAGGAGUUAUCUGUUGAACUAGAUUACUCACCUAUUGAAAAAAAAACUAAAGUUGACUCCAACAGACGCAUCAUCUAUUGCAACAAGUGAGUCAUUUGUUGCAAUUCACCUAUUGCAACAGGUGAGUCAUUUGUUGCAAUAUGUUAGUUAUUUGUUGCAAUAUGCCACUCAUCUGUUGGAAUCAGCUUCAAAGGUUCUUUAAUACUGUAACAGCUAUCCUAACAGAUGAGUUAUCUGUUGCACCUGAUGGAUAAUCUAUUGCAACAGAUGAUUCACGUAUGCCAACAGAUGACUCAUCUGUUGGAAUCAGCUUUAGGUUUUAUAGUACCGUAACAUAAAUCCUAACACGUAAGUCAUGUGUUGCAACAAAUUACUGACAUAUUGCAACAUAUUAUUCACCUGUUGUAACAAAUUACUUAUCUGUUGGGGUUCAUAUUACAAUACUAUAAAAUCAUAAUUAAUUUUAUUAUCACAUCAUUAUUAACUUUUUUAACAAAUGUCUUUAUCUAGGUACCACUAAUGCAAGGAUCAAUAACAAUAGCGGUGGAUUGUCAUAGUGAAUAGAUCGAGAAGAGCAAUCAAUAUGUAUGUCGGUGGAAAGAGGGUAAAAUGAUAGAGGCGAUAACUAAGAUAGUCCAAAAUAAGAUUUCGUAUGAUAAUUUUGUGAACUUAAUCAUCAGCUAUUAUGGACUGAAUUGUCAACUGAAAGAACUCGUCAUUAGCUACAUGCACAACUCAUUUGAAAAUCAGAGGGCCCUACCUUUUAAGAUAACCGAUCAGAUUCAGUUAUGUGCUUAUCUGAGUGAUUUAGCUAAGCCAGUGUUAAGGGUGUACGUGGUUGAAAAAUUGAGAGAGAAAGAGAACCAGAAUAAAGAAGAAGAACAAUAACAAGCCAUGUUUGAUGAUAAGUUGGAUAAUCUGGACAUGAGUAUUCCAGAUGAUGAUCAAACACUUACACCCGUUACAAUCAACACAUUCAGGUAAUCAUCAAGAUGAAGAUACUGGUUUUACAAGGAAAUGUAAUUCAAGAAUAAGAUAGAACUAUCUACUUCUUUGUUUAUUGCUUGAUUGAAAAAAGAUUGUAGAGUAAAGAAGGUGAUUAAUUCGAGCAAAAUCUUUUCUUUUAGAUGCGUUAAUCCGAACUGCAAGUGGUGAGUGAGGUCUAUGAAAUACUUAAGUUCUGACAGAUUCAUAAUUAAUGUUUAUGAAAAGUAUCACACAUGUGGUUCGGAGCACAUUACGAGCCGUAAUCCUCACACCACGACAAAGGUCCUCAGUCGAAUUCCAAAAUAGAUUCCCCAAUGGCAAAGGCCCUUCUUCAAGUGAUAUGACCAAUCAACUUCUUACAAAAUUGGGUUUUACGGUCAAUUAUUGGAAGAUAUAUACAACCAUAGGGAUUGCUAAGGACUUGGUUAGAAGGAUACACGAGCACGGGUAUGCAGUCCUCGAUGCCUAUCGUUACAUACUUGAGUCCACAAAUUCUGAAAGUAAGAUGGCAUUGAAUAUUAAUAAAAUGAAAGGUUCAAGUACUUUUUAUAUCCAAUAGUGCUUGAAUUCUUGGUUUUCAACAGUUGAGAAAAGUCAUAUCCAUCGACGGGAAUUUCCUGAGGAGCAAGUAUAGUGGAGUUUUGCUAGUGGCGGUAGCAUAGGAUGUGGAGAGUCAUAUUUUUCUUGUCACUUUUUGUGUAGCAGACAAGGAAUGUGAUGCCUCGUAUGGAUAUUUUUUGAACAAAUGCAAAGUUAUGUUAAAGAUGCCAAAGAGUUGUGUAAUAUUUCGGAUAGGUAUCCAAGUAUCCCAAAGAUGUGUUCAAUUUUCUACACUUUAAUUCACUUUGCAUCUUGGAGAUAAUAUUCGAAACAACUUUCACAAUGAAAGGAUCGUGACUCUUUUUUAUAGAGCAGCUAAAACAUAUGUUGUAGAUGAGUUUUUUGACCAUUUCAAUCAAAUAAGGAAUAUCUCACCUAUGGCAGCACAAUAUCUUGAAUGUGUCGAUUUCAAGAGAUGGAGCCAGACAUUUUAUCCGGUAAAUAGGUAUAUUAUUAUAAAUUUAAGGUCUUGUUUGAGUUACAUAUUUGUAAUACUAUAUGAUAUCGUACUAAGUAAUUUUUUUUAUAUAGGUAUAAUAGUAUGACAUCGGAAAUAGUUGAAUCAGUGACUUCAUUAUUUGGCGUUGAAAGAGAAUUUCUCAUCCUGACACUAUUUGAUGAAAUAAACAAGAAGUAUGCUAAAUUAUUUCACAAAAGGUGUAUGCAGUUCAUGAACAUAAGAAACAAAUUUGAUUUAGAAGUGGAAAAUCA
RNAcentral lists this long non-coding RNA (27632 nucleotides) under Capsicum annuum. RNAcentral describes it as "long non-coding RNA (CANN_LNC019434)". The record is from RNAcentral. Lineage: Eukaryota; Viridiplantae; Streptophyta; Magnoliopsida; Solanales; Solanaceae.